ACCAGUAGGCCGAGGCCCCUCAC
This 23-nucleotide microRNA is filed under the name Cervus elaphus (red deer). RNAcentral's name for it is "cel-miR-665". The record is from RNAcentral. Lineage: Eukaryota; Metazoa; Chordata; Mammalia; Artiodactyla; Cervidae.